AGAGUUUGAUCAUGGCUCAGAGUGAACGCUGGCGGCGUGCCUAACACAUGCAAGUCGAACGAGAACGGGUUACAGUUUACUGUAACUGUCAGCUAAGUGGCGCACGGGUGAGUAAUAUAUAGUUAAUCUGCCCCAAAGAAGAGAAUAAUUGUUGGAAACGACUUGUAACUCUCUAUAUGCCUUUAUCACACAAGUGAGCAAGGGAAACAUUUAUGGCUUUGGGAUGAGACUGUACGGUAUCAGCUAGUUGGUGAGGUAAUGGCUCACCAAGGCUAUGACAUCUAACUGGUUUGAGAGGAGGAUCAGUCACACUGGAACUGAGACACGGUCCAGACUCCUACGGGAGGCAGCAGUGGGGAAUAUUGCACAAUGGAGGAAACUCUGAUGCAGCAACGCCGCGUGGAGGAUGACACAUUUCGGUGCGUAAACUCCUUUUAUUAGGGAAGAUAAUGACGGUACCUAAUGAAUAAGCACCGGCUAACUCCGUGCCAGCAGCCGCGGUAAUACGGGGGGUGCAAGCGUUACUCGGAAUCACUGGGCGUAAAGAGCAUGUAGGCUGGAGAUUAAGUUGGAAGUGAAAUCCUAUGGCUCAA
Molecule: ribosomal RNA, 593 nt
Filed under: uncultured bacterium
Lineage: Bacteria
Description: bacterial SSU rRNA
Rfam family: Bacterial small subunit ribosomal RNA
Source: RNAcentral